RNAcentral lists this ribosomal RNA (409 nucleotides) under uncultured bacterium. RNAcentral describes it as "bacterial SSU rRNA". It matches the Rfam family "Bacterial small subunit ribosomal RNA", at positions 29 to 439 of the family's 1533-position model. The record is from RNAcentral.
AUUGAACGCUGGCGGCAUGCCUUACACAUGCAAGUCGAACGGCAGCACGGGAGCAAUCCUGGUGGCGAGUGGCGAACGGGUGAGUAAUAUAUCGGAACGUGCCCAGUAGUGGGGGAUAGCCCGGCGAAAGCCGGAUUAAUACCGCAUGAGACCUGAGGGUGAAAGCGGGGGAUCGCAAGACCUCGCGCUAUUGGAGCGGCCGAUAUCAGAUUAGCUAGUUGGUGGGGGUAAAGGCCUACCAAGGCAACGAUCUGUAGUUGGUCUGAGAGGACGACCAGCCACACUGGGACUGAGACACGGCCCAGACUCCUACGGGAGGCAGCAGUGGGGAAUUUUGGACAAUGGGCGCAAGCCUGAUCCAGCAAUGCCGCGUGCAGGAAGAAGGCCUCGGGUUGUAACUAGCUUUGUC